RNAcentral lists this long non-coding RNA (382 nucleotides) under Trifolium pratense (red clover). Its description in RNAcentral is "long non-coding RNA (TPRA_LNC008316)". The record is from RNAcentral. Lineage: Eukaryota; Viridiplantae; Streptophyta; Magnoliopsida; Fabales; Fabaceae.
CAUAAUUUUACUGUUCGUUUCUUCUUUUUUUUCUUAUAUAAUACUCUUACUUUUCUUCCAUCCAAACAUAACAUUAAUGUUUUAAUUAACAAUAAACAAGCAUUUUUCUAAAUAAAAAAAGAAAUCCCAUCACAUGGAAAACUUGGGGUGAGAAAAUCCAACAUAAUUCCAAGUACACAAUUUAAUGAAGCAUAUCAUCUCUACAAACAAACCAAAACCAUCAUAAUCUUGUCAUGAGAAGAAGCUCUCCAGGAAUUAAUACAACUUGAAUGUCAUAGAUAAACAAACCAUCAUCCUUCAACCAAAUGUUGCAAUGAGGAAGGAUUUAUAGACGCUCAUGAACUUGGCCACAAAAGCUGUCAAUGUAGAAAAGAAAACAAUG